Molecule: ribosomal RNA, 254 nt
Filed under: uncultured bacterium
Lineage: Bacteria
Description: partial 16S ribosomal RNA
Rfam family: Bacterial small subunit ribosomal RNA
Source: RNAcentral
UACGUAGGGCGCAAGCGUUGUCCGGAAUUAUUGGGCGUAAAGAGCUCGUAGGUGGUUUGUUGCGUCUGCCGUGAAAACCCGAGGCUUAACCUCGUGGCUUGCGGUGGAUACGGGCAGACUAGAGGUAGGUAGGGGAGAACGGAAUUCCCGGUGUAGCGGUGAAAUGCGCAGAUAUCGGGAGGAACACCGGUGGCGAAGGCGGGUCUCUGGGCUGACACUGACGCUCAUGCACGAAAGCGUGGGGAGCAAACAGG